Molecule: ribosomal RNA, 250 nt
Filed under: uncultured bacterium
Lineage: Bacteria
Description: partial 16S ribosomal RNA
Rfam family: Bacterial small subunit ribosomal RNA
Source: RNAcentral
UACGAGAGGUCCAAGCGUUAGUCGGAAUCACUGGGCUUAAAGGGUGCGUAGGCGGGCUUGUAAGUGUCUUGUGAAAUCCCCGGGCUCAACCUGGGAAUUGCAGGGCAUACUGCGAGUCUAGAGGAAUCUAGAGGCCGGCAGAACGAUAGGUGGAGCGGUGGAAUGCGUAGAUAUCUAUCGGAAUGCCAAAGGUGAAGACAGCCGGCUGGGGAUUUCCUGACGCUGAGGCACGAAAGCGUGGGGAUCAAAC